GACGAACGCUGGCGGCGUGCUUAUCACAUGCAAGUCGAACGGAAAGGCCUGCUUUCCCUUGUGGAUUGCGGGUACUCGAGUGGCGAACGGGUGAGUAACACGUGAGUGAUCUGCCCCCAACUUGGGUAUAAGCCUGGGAAACUGGGUCUAAUUCCCGAUAGGACUGCAGGGUGGUGCCUGUGGUGGAAAACGAUUUUCUAGUGGUUGGGGAUGAGCUCGCGGCCUAUCAGCUUGUUGGUGGGGUAAUGGCCUACCAAGGCGGCGACGGGUAGCCGGCCUGAGAGGGUGGACGGUCACAUUGAGACUGGGAUACGGCCCAGACUCCUACGGGAGGCAGCAGUGGGGAAUAUUGCACAAUGGGCGGAAGCCUGAUGCAGCGACGCCGCGUGGGAGAUGACGGCCUUCGGGUUGUAAACUCCUUUCGACCGCGAGGAAGCCACCUGGUUGGAAGGGUGGUGACGGUAGUGGUGGAAGAAGCACCGGCUAACUACGUG
Molecule: ribosomal RNA, 494 nt
Filed under: uncultured bacterium
Lineage: Bacteria
Description: partial 16S ribosomal RNA
Rfam family: Bacterial small subunit ribosomal RNA
Source: RNAcentral